GAAGUGAACGCUGGCGGCAGGCCUAACACAUGCAAGUCGAACGGAUCCUUCGGGAUUAGUGGCGGACGGGUGAGUAACGCGUGGGAACAUACCCUUUGGUACGGAAUAGCCUCGGGAAACUGGGAGUAAUACCGUAUGUGGUCGAGAGACGAAAGAUUUAUCGCCAAAGGAUUGGCCCGCGUUGGAUUAGGUAGUUGGUGGGGUAAAGGCUCACCAAGCCAACGAUCUGUAGCUGGUCUGAGAGGACGACCAGCCACACUGGAACUGAGACACGGUCCAGACUCCUACGGGAGGCAGCAGUGGGGAAUUUUCCGCAAUGGGCGAAAGCCUGACGGAGCAAUACCGCGUGAGGGAAGAAUGCCUAUGGGUUGUAAACCUCUUUUUUCAGGGAGGAAUAAAAUGACGUGUACCUGAAGAAUAAGCAUCGGCUAACUCCGUG
This 439-nucleotide ribosomal RNA is filed under the name uncultured bacterium. RNAcentral describes it as "bacterial SSU rRNA". It matches the Rfam family "Bacterial small subunit ribosomal RNA", at positions 29 to 507 of the family's 1533-position model. The record is from RNAcentral.